Molecule: ribosomal RNA, 253 nt
Filed under: uncultured bacterium
Lineage: Bacteria
Description: partial 16S ribosomal RNA
Rfam family: Bacterial small subunit ribosomal RNA
Source: RNAcentral
UACGGAGGGGGCAAGCGUUAUUCGGAAUCAUUGGGCGUAAAGGGCGCGUAGGCGGCUUGGCAAGUCAAAGGUGAAAUCCCUCGGCCCAACCGAGGAACUGCCUUUGAUACUGCCUGGCUCGAGGCCGGGAGAGGGUAGCGGAAUUCCCAGUGUAGCGGUGAAAUGCGUAGAUAUUGGGAGGAACACCAGUGGCGAAGGCGGCUACCUGGACCGGUUCUGACGCUGAUGCGCGAAAGCGUGGGGAGCAAACAGG